AUUGAACGCUGGCGGCAUGCCUUACACAUGCAAGUCGAACGGCAGCACGGGAGCAAUCCUGGUGGCGAGUGGCGAACGGGUGAGUAAUACAUCGGAACGUGCCCAGUUGUGGGGGAUAGCCCGGCGAAAGCCGGAUUAAUACCGCAUACGACCUACGGGUGAAAGCGGGGGAUCGCAAGACCUCGCGCUAUUGGAGCGGCCGAUGUCGGAUUAGCUAUUUGGUGGGGUAAAAGCCUACCAAGGCUACGAUCCGUAGCUGGUCUGAGAGGACGACCAGCCACACUGGGACUGAGACACGGCCCAGACUCCUACGGGAGGCAGCAGUGGGGAAUUUUGGACAAUGGGCGCAAGCCUGAUCCAGCCAUGCCGCGUGCGGGAAGAAGGCCUUCGGGUUGUAAACCGCUUUUGUCAGGGAAGAAACGGUUUGGGCUAAUACCCCGAACUAAUGACGUUACCUGAAGAAUAAGCACCGGCUAACUACGUGCCAGCCGCCGCCGUAA
This 500-nucleotide ribosomal RNA is filed under the name uncultured bacterium. RNAcentral describes it as "partial 16S ribosomal RNA". It matches the Rfam family "Bacterial small subunit ribosomal RNA", at positions 30 to 523 of the family's 1533-position model. The record is from RNAcentral.